This 497-nucleotide ribosomal RNA is filed under the name uncultured bacterium. Its description in RNAcentral is "partial 16S ribosomal RNA". It matches the Rfam family "Bacterial small subunit ribosomal RNA", at positions 28 to 507 of the family's 1533-position model. The record is from RNAcentral.
GAUGAACGCUGGCGGCGUGCCUAACACAUGCAAGUCGAACGAAGAGACGAGGAGCUUGCUUUUUUGCUAUUUGCGGCGCGCGGGUGUGUGACACGUGUAAACACCCCGUAUAUGAGUGGGAUAAAUUAGGGAGACAGGAGCUCAUACCGGAUAAUCUUUUGAACCGCGUGGUUGAAGAGUGAAAGACGGUGUUGCUGUCACGUAUGGAUGCAUCUGCGCUGCAUUAGCUAGUUGGUAAGGUAACGGCUUACCAAGGCAACGAUGCAUAGCCGACCUGAGAGGAUGAUCGGCCACAUUGGAACUGAGACACGGCCCAGACUCCUACGGGAGGCAGCAGUAGGGAAUCUUCCGCAAUGGGCGAAAGUCUGACGGAGCAACGCCGCGUGAGUGAUGACGGCCUUCGGAUCGUAAAACUCUGUUAUUAGGGAAGAAAGGCUUUCUAAGGAACUGUGCACAGCUUGACGGUAACCAGUCAAAAAGCCACGGCUAACUACGUG